GGGGGUGCACCGGUUUCGACGGUUAAGAGUAGUCUUGUACUGCAGGCAGGCGUGAAGGUGCCUUGAACUGACAACACAAUAACUGCAAAAGUUGCAAAACGUCGUGAAGAGGAAUCUUCCGAAGCAGUUAGCCUCGCUGCUUAAUGCGAGACCGGCACUUAUGGUGUGCUGUUCCUAACAUCAUAAACUGCUGUCACAAACAGGGACUUGCUCUGUAUUUCGCCUGAGUUAUACGGAGGACUUUUUUCAGGAUACGGAAACGACGCUUUUGAAGCUGCUACCGUUUCCCGACAAUCACCUCGCUUCAAUAAGCCUGUAGAGGUGCCUGGUUAGCUUAUCCGGACGGGGGUUCAAUUCCCCCCAUCUCCAAUA
Molecule: transfer-messenger RNA, 372 nt
Filed under: Treponema rectale
Lineage: Bacteria; Pseudomonadati; Spirochaetota; Spirochaetia; Treponematales; Treponemataceae
Also listed under: 1 other name
Description: Treponema sp. CHPA transfer-messenger RNA
Rfam family: transfer-messenger RNA
About the family: Bacterial tmRNA, also known as 10Sa RNA or SsrA, is named for its dual tRNA and mRNA-like properties.
Source: Rfam by way of RNAcentral